Molecule: ribosomal RNA, 220 nt
Filed under: Ruditapes decussatus
Lineage: Eukaryota; Metazoa; Mollusca; Bivalvia; Venerida; Veneridae
Description: partial 16S ribosomal RNA
Rfam family: Bacterial large subunit ribosomal RNA
Source: RNAcentral
AAGACGAGAAGACCCUAUUGAGCUUAAUCAGGUUUUAAAUUUUAUGUGUGAUUAUUAUUUAAAACUAAAGUGUGGUUGGGGAAAGCUAGAUUUAAGAAAACAAGUCUAUAAUAGGCGAAGAUCCUCCUCGGGAGAUAAUUGGUAAAAGCUACCGUAGGGAUAACAGCGUAAUCUUUCUUGAGAGAUCUUAUUGAGGGAAAGGUUUGCGACCUCGAUGUUG